RNAcentral lists this non-coding RNA (22 nucleotides) under Arabidopsis thaliana (thale cress). The record is from RNAcentral. Lineage: Eukaryota; Viridiplantae; Streptophyta; Magnoliopsida; Brassicales; Brassicaceae.
CUGUUUCGUCAAAUUCUUCUGA